This 497-nucleotide ribosomal RNA is filed under the name uncultured bacterium. RNAcentral describes it as "partial 16S ribosomal RNA". It matches the Rfam family "Bacterial small subunit ribosomal RNA", at positions 28 to 507 of the family's 1533-position model. The record is from RNAcentral.
GAUGAACGCUGGCGGCGUGCCUAAUACAUGCAAGUCGAGCGAACGGACGAGAAGCUUGCUUCUCUGAUGUUAGCGGCGGACGGGUGAGUAACACGUGGAUAACCUACCUAUAAGACUGGGAUAACUUCGGGAAACCGGAGCUAAUACCGGAUAAUAUUUUGAACCGCAUGGUUCAAAAGUGAAAGACGGUCUUGCUGUAACUUAUAGAUGGAUCCGCGCUGCAUUAGCUAGUUGGUAAGGUAACGGCUUACCAAGGCAACGAUGCAUAGCCGACCUGAGAGGGUGAUCGGCCACACUGGAACUGAGACACGGUCCAGACUCCUACGGGAGGCAGCAGUAGGGAAUCUGCCGCAAUGGGCGAAAGCCUGACGGAGCAACGCCGCGUGAGUGAUGAAGGUCUUCGGAUCGUAAAACUCUGUUAUUAGGGAAGAACAUAUGUGUAAGUAACUGUGCACAUCUUGACGGUACCUAAUCAGAAAGCCACGGCUAACUACGUG